Salvia miltiorrhiza (redroot sage) is the source of this 804-nucleotide long non-coding RNA. RefSeq lists it as uncharacterized. NCBI's taxonomy places the organism in Eukaryota, Viridiplantae, Streptophyta, Magnoliopsida, Lamiales, Lamiaceae. The transcript is spliced from 2 exons. The record is from RefSeq and is a predicted model, not a curated record.
GAUCUGAUCUCCCCCUUCAAUUAAUACAUGUAUUUAACUCUCAUCUUCUACCCCCACCUUCUUUUAUUCAAUUCUUUUUCCAAUUUUAUUUCUCCUAGCCUAUGUGUAAUCAAUUCUUGAUUUAAAUGGGAUUUCGUCCCAUUAUAUCCUCUCUCUCUCACUCUAUUUAUACACAUAUAUAUAUAUAUGUGUAUAGCCCUUAAAGGUUGAACUCACACCAACAAUUGCAAAUAUAUAUAUAUAUACACAUACAUAUAUCAAGAAAUCUUCCAACUCCCUCAGAAUCCCAAAUUGCAUGCAGUUGAAUUCUCUGGUAAAAGGUGUGGGGAAACAUGAUCAAGUAUGAUGGAGAGAGCCCAAAACUUGAGCUAAAGCUGAACCUGUCCCCACCGGGGGAACAGCGACAAGUUAUGUCGCCAAAAGGGGCGAAAUCGAUAUCGAUUUCGCCCCGGAGCUCGUGUGUGUCGCGGGAGACGAGCCCCGACGGCCACGCGAGCAGCCCGGAGGCGAUGUCGAUGAUGUUGGUGGGAUGCCCGCGCUGCCUUAUGUAUGUCAUGUUGUUUCAAGACGAUCCAAAGUGCCCCAAAUGCAAGAGCACUGUUUUGCUUAAUUUUCUGCAUGAGCCUCACCACCUCAGUGUCUUCAACUCUUGAGUUUAGUUUAGAAUCCUAGCUCCCCUAAUUAAUUAAAGCCCUCCUGUAUUUUAUUUUUCUUUUUUUUAGUUUUAAAGUUGCAUCUUUUCUUGAUGUAUAAUUAAGACAGAGGAGAAGGAAUGAAGAAUAAGGGGGUGGUUUUGUAAUUUCA